UAAUACGUAGGGUGCAAGCGUUAAUCGGAAUUACUGGGCGUAAAGCGUGCGCAGGCGGUUAUGUAAGUCAGAUGUGAAAUCCCCGGGGCUCAACCUGGGAACUGCAUUUGAGACUGCAUGGCUAGAGUGUGUCAGAGGGGGGUAGAAUUCCACGUGUAGCAGUGAAAUGCGUAGAUAUGUGGAGGAAUACCGAUGGCGAAGGCAGCCCCCUGGGAUAACACUGACGCUCAUGCACGAAAGCGUGGGGAGCAAACAGGAUUAGAUACCCUGGUAGUCCACGCCCUAAACGAUGUCUACUAGUUGUUGGGUCUUAAUUGACUUAGUAACGCAGCUAACGCGUGAAGUAGACCGCCUGGGGAGUACGGUCGCAAGAUUAAAACUCAAAGGAAUUGACGGGGACCCGCACAAGCGGUGGAUGAUGCGGAUUAAUUCGAUGCAACGCGAAAAACCUUACCUACCCUUGACAUGUAGCAAGAUCGA
This 480-nucleotide ribosomal RNA is filed under the name uncultured Herminiimonas sp. RNAcentral describes it as "bacterial SSU rRNA". It matches the Rfam family "Bacterial small subunit ribosomal RNA", at positions 521 to 1000 of the family's 1533-position model. Lineage: Bacteria; Pseudomonadati; Pseudomonadota; Betaproteobacteria; Burkholderiales; Oxalobacteraceae. The record is from RNAcentral.